RNAcentral lists this ribosomal RNA (519 nucleotides) under uncultured eukaryote. RNAcentral describes it as "bacterial SSU rRNA". It matches the Rfam family "Eukaryotic small subunit ribosomal RNA", at positions 1161 to 1643 of the family's 1831-position model. The record is from RNAcentral.
AGGGCACCACCAGGAGUGGAGCCUGCGGCUUAAUUUGACUCAACACGGGAAAACUUACCCGGCCCGGACACUGGAAGGAUUGACAGAUUGAGAGCUCUUUCUUGAUUCAGUGGGUGGUGGUGCAUGGCCGUUCUUAGUUGGUGGAGCGAUUUGUCUGGUUAAUUCCGAUAACGAACGAGACUCUAGCCUACUAAAUAGACUGUUCAGCUUUAUAGCCGGAAUCACCGGGCAUGUAGCUCUCACGGGUUGCAUGUUCGGCUCUGGUGACGUUGGCAGUGCUUCUUAGAGGGACAGGCGGCGGUUCAGCCGCACGAAACAGAGCAAUAACAGGUCUGUGAUGCCCUUAGAUGUCCGGGGCUGCACGCGCGCUACACUGAAGUGAUCAGCGUGCAAUUUACGUUUGGUGAUCUGUCAAGAUUGCCCAACCCGUUGAGCCUUCUUCGUGAUUGGGAUAGGGGAUUGUAAUUAUUCCCCUUGAACGAGGAAUUCCCAGUAAGCGCGAGUCAUAAGCUUGCGUUG